AUGGUUGUCGUCAGCUCGUGUCGUGAGAUGUUGGGUUAAGUCCCGCAACGAGCGCAACCCCUAUUGCUAGUUACCAUCAUUAAGUUGGGGACUCUAGCGAGACUGCCAGUGAUAAACUGGAGGAAGGUGGGGAUGACGUCAAAUCAUCAUGCCCCUUAUGACCUGGGCUACAAACGUGAUACAAUGGCUGGAACAAAGGGAUGCGAAGCAGUGAUGUGGAGCGAAACCCAUAAAAACAGUCUCAGUUCGGAUUGAAGUCUGCAACUCGACUUCAUGAAGUCGGAAUCGCUAGCAAUCGCGGAUCAGAACGCCGCGGUGAAUACGUUCUCGGGCCUU
Molecule: ribosomal RNA, 336 nt
Filed under: uncultured Acholeplasma sp.
Lineage: Bacteria; Bacillati; Mycoplasmatota; Mollicutes; Acholeplasmatales; Acholeplasmataceae
Description: bacterial SSU rRNA
Rfam family: Bacterial small subunit ribosomal RNA
Source: RNAcentral